Molecule: non-coding RNA, 406 nt
Organism: Cucurbita pepo subsp. pepo (vegetable marrow)
Lineage: Eukaryota; Viridiplantae; Streptophyta; Magnoliopsida; Cucurbitales; Cucurbitaceae
Source: RefSeq, a predicted model, not a curated record
UGCAAGGAGAGAGAAUUGUAUUCCGUCGCCGGAGAGGAAAGCUUCGCUACUUUACGCCAUGAACUUCUAUUUCAUCAGGGUUCUUCCGUCAAGAACUCCGGUCAUCAUUGAGAUUCCUUCCUCUGCAAGUUUCAAAUUACAGCUUUCGGUUUCAGGUGAAGAAGAAACAGCUCUUCGCAACUUUCUGGCAAUCAUAUUGUUUGGUGCUUUUGGAAGUGUGAUAUCAUUCUUCAUCAUAUCAGUAGGUUCUUAAACAAGAUGAGACGCCUUGGUGAAAGUGUGGUCAAUGAUGUUAACUCUUCGAUGCAAUCAAGAAAUUUCACCUCUCACGUAACUUCAACAAAUGUCAUUGUAAGAUCCCACAUUGGUUGGGGAGGAGAACGAAUCACCUUUUAUAAAGAUGUGA